AUAAUAAAAUAAUUAUGUUUUUAAUAAUUUAUUAUAAAUUUAUUUUACAUAUAAAUUUUAGUAUAUAAUUUUAAUUAUUUAAAUAAUAAUUAAUUUAAUUUAUUAAUAGUAAUUAAUAUUAAAAAUUUAAGAAAUUAAGAUUUAGUAAUAUAAAAAUUAAUAACUAAUUUUGUGCCAGCAGUUGCGGUUAAACAAAGAUUAAAUUAAAUUAUUUCAGUUUAUAAUAAAUAAAUUUAUUAUUAAAAUAAAUAUUAAAUUAUUAAGUGAAAUUUUAAUUUAAUUAAAUUUUAUAUUAAGAUUAUGAUUUAAUAAAUUUUAAUAUAAACUAGGAUUAGAUACCCUAUUAUUAAAAAUUUAAUUUAUAAUACUAAAAUAGUAAAUAAUAAUUUAUUGAAACUUAAAUAAUAUGGCGGUAUUUUAGUUCAUUUAGAGGAAUCUGUCUAAUAAUUGAUAAUCCACGAAUAAAUUUACUUAAUUUAUAAUUUUGUAUAUCAUUGUUAAAUAAAUAUUUUUUAGUAAAAAUAAUAUUUAAAAUUUAAGAUUAAAAGUUAAAUCAGAUCAAGAUGCAGAAUAUAAUUAAGAAUAUGAUGGAUUACAAUAAAUAUAUUUAAAUGAAUAAUUUUAUUGUAAUAUAAAUUUGAAGGUGGAUUUAAAUGUAAUUUUAAUUAAUUUAUUAAAAUGAUUAUAAAUUAAAAUAUGUACAUAUUGCCCGUCACUUUCAUUUAAAAGUUGAAAUAAGUCGUAACAAAGUAGAGGUACUGGAAAGUGUUUCUAGAAAGAA
Molecule: non-coding RNA, 781 nt
Filed under: Yoma sabina
Lineage: Eukaryota; Metazoa; Arthropoda; Insecta; Lepidoptera; Nymphalidae
Source: RNAcentral